RNAcentral lists this transfer RNA (72 nucleotides) under Camelus bactrianus (Bactrian camel). It matches the Rfam family "tRNA". From Rfam's summary of the family: Transfer RNA (tRNA) molecules are approximately 80 nucleotides in length. Their secondary structure includes four short double-helical elements and three loops (D, anti-codon, and T loops). The record is from Rfam by way of RNAcentral. Lineage: Eukaryota; Metazoa; Chordata; Mammalia; Artiodactyla; Camelidae. RNAcentral also lists the same sequence under 2 other names.
GAGGCUUUAGCUCAGUGGUAGAGCACAUGCUUAGCAUGCACAAGGCCCUGGGUUCAAUCCCCAGUACCUCCA